GAGCUACCGAGAGGCGGGG
RNAcentral lists this small nuclear RNA (19 nucleotides) under Arabidopsis thaliana (thale cress). Its description in RNAcentral is "snRNA_12243". The record is from RNAcentral. Lineage: Eukaryota; Viridiplantae; Streptophyta; Magnoliopsida; Brassicales; Brassicaceae.